AGUCGACGGCAGCACGGGAGCAAUCCUGGUGGCGAGUGGCGAACGGGUGAGUAAUACAUCGGAACGUGUCCUGGAGUGGGGGAUAGCCCGGCGAAAGCCGGAUUAAUACCGCAUACGCUCUGUGGAGGAAAGCGGGGGAUCUUUCGGGACCUCGCGCUCAAGGGGCGGCCGAUGGCAGAUUAGCUAGUUGGUGGGGUAAAGGCCUACCAAGGCGACGAUCUGUAGCUGGUCUGAGAGGACGACCAGCCACACUGGGACUGAGACACGGCCCAGACUCCUACGGGAGGCAGCAGUGGGGAAUUUUGGACAAUGGGCGCAAGCCUGAUCCAGCAAUGCCGCGUGUGUGAAGAAGGCCUUCGGGUUGUAAAGCACUUUUGUCCGGAAAGAAAACCUCUGGGUUAAUACCCCGGGGGGAUGACGGUACCGGAAGAAUAAGCACCGGCUAACUACGUGCCAGCAGCCGCGGUAAUACGUAGGGUGCGAGCGUUAAUCGGAAUUACUGGGCGUAAAGCGUGCGCAGGCGGUUCGUUAAGACAGAUGUGAAAUCCCCGGGCUUAACCUGGGAACUGCAUUUGUGACUGGCGGGCUAGAGUAUGGCAGAGGGGGGUAGAAUUCCACGUGUAGCAGUGAAAUGCGUAGAGAUGUGGAGGAAUACCGAUGGCGAAGGCAGCCCCCUGGGCCAAUACUGACGCUCAUGCACGAAAGCGUGGGGAGCAAACAGGAUUAGAUACCCUGGUAGUCCACGCCCUAAACGAUGUCAACUAGUUGUUGGGGAUUCAUUUCCUUAGUAACGUAACUAACGC
This 803-nucleotide ribosomal RNA is filed under the name Burkholderia sp. AS8(2). Its description in RNAcentral is "bacterial SSU rRNA". It matches the Rfam family "Bacterial small subunit ribosomal RNA", at positions 60 to 858 of the family's 1533-position model. The record is from RNAcentral. Lineage: Bacteria; Pseudomonadati; Pseudomonadota; Betaproteobacteria; Burkholderiales; Burkholderiaceae.